UUCAUUAGGUUGUUUGGGGAUUCUG
RNAcentral lists this non-coding RNA (25 nucleotides) under Mus musculus (house mouse). Lineage: Eukaryota; Metazoa; Chordata; Mammalia; Rodentia; Muridae. The record is from RNAcentral.